Molecule: ribosomal RNA, 253 nt
Filed under: uncultured bacterium
Lineage: Bacteria
Description: partial 16S ribosomal RNA
Rfam family: Bacterial small subunit ribosomal RNA
Source: RNAcentral
UACGGGGGGGGCAAGCGUUGUUCGGAAUUACUGGGCGUAAAGGGCUCGUAGGCGGCCAACUAAGUCGGACGUGAAAUCCCUCAGCUUAACUGGGGAACUGCGUCCGAUACUGGAUGGCUUGGAUUCGGGAGAGGGAUGCGGAAUUCCAGGUGUAGCGGUGAAAUGCGUAGAUAUCUGGAGGAACACCGGUGGCGAAGGCGGCAUCCUGGACCGAUAUUGACGCUGAGGAGCGAAAGCCAGGGGAGCAAACGGG